This 254-nucleotide ribosomal RNA is filed under the name uncultured bacterium. Its description in RNAcentral is "partial 16S ribosomal RNA". It matches the Rfam family "Bacterial small subunit ribosomal RNA", at positions 524 to 776 of the family's 1533-position model. The record is from RNAcentral.
UACGUAGGCAGCGAGCGUUGUUCGGAGUUACUGGGCGUAAAGAGUGCGUAGGCGGCAUGGCAAGUCUGGUGUGAAAUCUCCCGGCUCAACCGGGAGGGUGCGCCGGAGACUGCCAAGCUGGGAGUACGGGAGAGGCACGUGGAAUUCCUGGUGUAGCGGUGAAAUGCGUAGAGAUCAGGAGGAACACCGGUGGCGAAGGCGGCGACCUGGUCCUUGACUGACGCUGAGGCGCGAGAGCGUGGGGAGCAAACAGG